RNAcentral lists this ribosomal RNA (759 nucleotides) under uncultured organism. RNAcentral describes it as "bacterial SSU rRNA". It matches the Rfam family "Bacterial small subunit ribosomal RNA", at positions 44 to 823 of the family's 1533-position model. The record is from RNAcentral.
GUGCCUAAGGUAUGCAAGUCGAACGAUUCCUGUAUCUUCGGAUACAGGGAGUGGCAAACGGCUGAGUAACGCGUAGGAACCUACCCCAAACUCGAGUAUAGCCCCGCGAAAGCGGGGGUAAUCCUCGAUAGCCCGUGAAGUAUUUUACUUCACGGUAAAGCUUUUGCGGUUUGGGAUGGGCCUGCGUCCUAUCAGGUAGUUGGUGAGGUAAAUGCUCACCAAGCCUAUGACGGGUAGCUGGUCUGAGAGGAUGGUCAGCCAGACUGGGACUGCGACACGGCCCAGACUCCUACGGGAGGCAGCAACUAGGAAUUGUGCGCAAUGGACGAAAGUCUGACGCCGCGACAUCGCGUGGAGGAUGAAGGUCUUCGGAUUGUAAACUCCUUUUCUUACCGAACAAGUUCUGAGUGUAGGUAAGGAAUAAGUGCCUGCUAACCACGUGCCAGAAGCAUCGGUAAUACGUGGGGCGCGAGCGUUAUCCGGAUUUACUGGGCGUAAAGAGAAGCGUAGGCGGCUCAAUAAGUUUGGUGUUAAAUCUUCCGGCUCAACCGGAAACAAGCACCGAAAACUAUCGAGAUUGAGUCGAGUAGGGAAGAGGGGAAUUCCUGGUGGAGCGGUUAAAUGCGUAGAUAUCAGGAGGAAUACCAAGGGCGAAGGCACCUCUUUGGACUCGUACUGACGCUGAGGCUCGAAAGCGUGGGUAGCAAAACGGAUUAGAUACCCGUGUAGUCCACGCCGUAAACGAUCCCUGUUAGAUGU